RNAcentral lists this ribosomal RNA (253 nucleotides) under uncultured bacterium. Its description in RNAcentral is "partial 16S ribosomal RNA". It matches the Rfam family "Bacterial small subunit ribosomal RNA", at positions 524 to 776 of the family's 1533-position model. The record is from RNAcentral.
UACGGAGGGUGCAAGCAUUGAUCGGAAUUACUGGGCGUAAAGGGCGCGCAGGCGGUUAGGAAAGUCAGAUGUGAAAUACCGGGGCUCAACCCCGGUGCUGCAUUUGAAACUUCCUUUCUAGAGUUUAGUUAGGGAAAUCGGAAUUCCACGUGUAGCGGUGAAAUGCGUAGAUAUGUGGAAGAACACCAGUGGUGAAGACGGAUUUCUGGGCUAUAACUGACGCUGAGGCGCGAAAGCAUGGGGAGCAAACAGG